This is a long non-coding RNA of Cavia porcellus (domestic guinea pig), 307 nucleotides long. RefSeq lists it as uncharacterized. NCBI's taxonomy places the organism in Eukaryota, Metazoa, Chordata, Mammalia, Rodentia, Caviidae. The record is from RefSeq and is a predicted model, not a curated record. The transcript is spliced from 2 exons.
GUAGUCUUCUGUCGAUGCCUGGAGGUUGGCAUGUGGCAUCAAGGACCACCGCGAGAUCCAAAAUGGUUGCUUCAGGUGGAUAUAGCCCACCUCCAUCCCACAGAGAGAUUCAGAAGGGAAAAAAUUUGUACUCUUGGAAAGAGAAAAAGUGCAUGUAUACAUCAAGGAUGACCAUAUGAAGAUUCAGAGUGAUAGCAGCCAUCUGCACCUUCAGAAAAAGACCUCAAAGGAAAUAAAACCUGCCAGUACCUUCAUCCUGGAUGACUGGACUUCAAAAUCAUGAUGAAAAUAAACCUGUCUUGUUUAA